AACGCACCUUGCGCUCCUUGGUAUUCCGAGGAGCAUGCCUGUUUGAGUGUCAUUAAAUUCUCAACUGUUAUCAACUUUUGCUGAUAAUGGCUUGGAUGUGGGGGUCUAUUUUGCUGGCUUCUUCUCAGAUAGUCAGCUCCCCUUAAAUGCAUUAGCUGGUGCCCCGCGUGGACUGUCUAUUGGUGUGAUAAUUAUCUACGCUAUGGACAUCUGCAAUCAUAUGGGUUUGCGCUGCUUCUAACAGUCUGUUGAUUCAGACAAUACAUGACAAUUUGACCUCAAAUCAGGUAGGACUACCCGCUGAACUUAA
RNAcentral lists this unclassified non-coding RNA (310 nucleotides) under uncultured fungus. Its description in RNAcentral is "partial contains 5.8S ribosomal RNA, internal transcribed spacer 2, and large subunit ribosomal RNA". The stretch from base 1 to 52 matches the Rfam family "5.8S ribosomal RNA", at positions 103 to 154 of the family's 154-position model. RNAcentral also lists the same sequence under 1 other name. Lineage: Eukaryota; Fungi. The record is from RNAcentral.